This 1872-nucleotide ribosomal RNA is filed under the name Toramus pulchellus. Its description in RNAcentral is "SSU rRNA". It matches the Rfam family "Eukaryotic small subunit ribosomal RNA". The record is from RNAcentral. Lineage: Eukaryota; Metazoa; Arthropoda; Insecta; Coleoptera; Erotylidae.
UCAUAUGCUUGUCUCAAAGAUUAAGCCAUGCAUGUCUCAGUACAAGCCAAUUUAAGGUGAAACCGCGAAAGGCUCAUUAAAUCAGUUAUGGUUCCUUAGUUCGUACACACAUUUACUUGGAUAACUGUGGUAAUUCUAGAGCUAAUACAUGCAAAUUGAGUUCCAACCGGAGACGGAAGGAGCGCUUUUAUUAGAUCAAAACCAAUCGGUGGCGGGCUUGCUCGUCAUCGUACAAUUUGGUGACUCUGAAUAACUUUAUGCUGAUCGCACGGUCUUGCACCGGCGAUAGUACUUUCAAAUGUCUGCCUUAUCAACUGUCGAUGGUAGGUUCUGCGCCUACCAUGGUUGUAACGGGUAACGGGGAAUCAGGGUUCGAUUCCGGAGAGGGAGCCUGAGAAACGGCUACCACAUCCAAGGAAGGCAGCAGGCGCGCAAAUUACCCACUCCCGGCACGGGGAGGUAGUGACGAAAAAUAACGAUACGGGACUCAUCCGAGGCCCCGUAAUCGGAAUGAGUACACUCUAAACCCUUUAACGAGGAUCAAUUGGAGGGCAAGUCUGGUGCCAGCAGCCGCGGUAAUUCCAGCUCCAAUAGCGUAUAUUAAAGUUGUUGCGGUUAAAAAGCUCGUAGUCGAAUCUGUGUCUCGCACCGUCGGUUCAUCGUUCGCGGUGUCAACUAGCGUGUUGCGAGACGUCCUGCCGGUGGGCCAUUUAUUUGGCCCAAUUCAAUCCCGUCGCGGUGCUCUUCAUUGAGUGUCGAGGUGGGCCGGCACGUUUACUUUGAACAAAUUAAAGUGCUUAAAGCAGGCUAAAAUUUCGCCUGAAUACUGUGUGCAUGGAAUAAUGGAAUAGGACCUCGGUUCUAUUUUGUUGGCUUUCGGAACCCCGAGGUAAUGAUUAAUAGGAACGGAUGGGGGUAUUCGUAUUGCGACUAUAGAGGUGAAAUUCUUGGAUCGUCGCAAGACGAACAGAAGCGAAAGCAUUUGCCAAAAACGCUUUCAUUGAUCAAGAACGAAAGUUAGAGGUUCGAAGGCGAUCAGAUACCGCCCUAGUUCUAACCAUAAACGAUGCCAGCUAGCGAUCUGUCGACGUUCCUCCGAUGACUCGACAGGCAGCUUCCGGGAAACCAAAGCUUUUGGGUUCCGGGGGAAGUAUGGUUGCAAAGCUGAAACUUAAAGGAAUUGACGGAAGGGCACCACCAGGAGUGGAGCCUGCGGCUUAAUUUGACUCAACACGGGAAACCUCACCAGGCCCGGACACCGGAAGGAUUGACAGAUUGAGAGCUCUUUCUUGAUUCGGUGGGUGGUGGUGCAUGGCCGUUCUUAGUUGGUGGAGCGAUUUGUCUGGUUAAUUCCGAUAACGAACGAGACUCUAGCCUGCUAACUAGGCGUAUCGCGACAUCCCAAAGGCCCACCGUCCGUUUUGGUUUCUACCUGGCGUGAUGGUGCGGUUUUUACUGUCGGCGUACAAAUAAUUCUUCUUAGAGGGACAGGCGGCUUUCAGCCGCACGAGAUUGAGUAAUAACAGGUCUGUGAUGCCCUUAGAUGUUCUGGGCCGCACGCGCGCUACACUGAAGGAAUCAGCGUGUUUUCCCUGGCCGAGCGGCCCGGGUAACCCGCUGAACCUCCUUCGUGCUAGGGAUUGGGGCUUGCAAUUGUUCCCCAUGAACGAGGAAUUCCCAGUAAGCGCGAGUCAUAAGCUCGCGUUGAUUACGUCCCUGCCCUUUGUACACACCGCCCGUCGCUAAUACCGAUUGAAUGAUUUAGUGAGGUCUUCGGACUGGUACUCGAUAGCGUUUCGGCGUCGUCGUUGUUGUCGGAAAGAUGACCAAACUUGAUCAUUUAGAGGAAUUAAAAGUCGUAACAAGGUUUCC